RNAcentral lists this ribosomal RNA (497 nucleotides) under uncultured bacterium. RNAcentral describes it as "partial 16S ribosomal RNA". It matches the Rfam family "Bacterial small subunit ribosomal RNA", at positions 28 to 507 of the family's 1533-position model. The record is from RNAcentral.
GAUGAACGCUGGCGGCGUGCCUAAUACAUGCAAGUCGAGCGAACAGAUAAGGAGCUUGCUCCUUUGACGUUAGCGGCGGACGGGUGAGUAACACGUGGGUAACCUACCUAUAAGACUGGAAUAACUCCGGGAAACCGGGGCUAAUGCCGGAUAACAUUUAGAACCGCAUGGUUCUAAAGUGAAAGAUGGUUUUGCUAUCACUUAUAGAUGGACCCGCGCCGUAUUAGCUAGUUGGUAAGGUAACGGCUUACCAAGGCAACGAUACGUAGCCGACCUGAGAGGGUGAUCGGCCACACUGGAACUGAGACACGGUCCAGACUCCUACGGGAGGCAGCAGUAGGGAAUCUUCCGCAAUGGGCGAAAGCCUGACGGAGCAACGCCGCGUGAGUGAUGAAGGUCUUCGGAUCGUAAAACUCUGUUAUUAGGGAAGAACAAAUGUGUAAGUAACUGUGCACGUCUUGACGGUACAUAAUCAGAAAGACACGGAUAACUACGUG